Molecule: non-coding RNA, 2258 nt
Organism: Chlorocebus sabaeus (green monkey)
Lineage: Eukaryota; Metazoa; Chordata; Mammalia; Primates; Cercopithecidae
Source: RefSeq, a predicted model, not a curated record
GCGGCGAAGACCGUGAACCCCAAGACCGAGGUGGCCCGAGCGCAGGCAGCGCUGGCGGUCAACGUCAGCGCGGCGCGGCGUCUGCGGGACGUGCUGAGGACCAACCUGGGGUCCAAAGGUACCAUCAAGAUGCUUGUUUCUCGCGUUGGAGACAUCAGGCUUACUAAAGACACAGGAGUUGACGACCAGCCCUGGCCAACACGGUGAAACUCGGUCUCUACUAAAAAUACAAAAAUUAGUCAGGCAUGUUCCUGCACAGUGUGCUGCUUCACGAAAUGCAAAUUCAACACCCAACAGCUUCCUUAAUAGCAAAGGUAGCAACAGCCCAGGAUUAUAUAACUGGGGAUGGUACGACUUCCAAUGUCCUAAUCAUUGGAGAGCUACUGAAACAGGCGGAUCUGUACAUUUCUGAAGACCUUCAUCCCAGAAUAAUCACUGAAGGAUUUGAAGUUGUGAAGGAAAAGGCCCUUCAGUUUUUGGAAGAAGUCAAAGUAAGCAGAGAGAUGGACAAGGAAACACUUAAAGAUGUGGCCAGAGCAUCUCCUCGUACCAAAGUUCACGCUGAAUUUGCAGAUGUCUUAACAGAGAUCUAUAUUAAAUUUUGUGCUGUAGUGGGCUCCAUUUUGGCCAUUAAAAGAAAAGAUGAACUUAUUGAUCUCUUCAUGGUUUUGUGAUCAUGGAGAUGAAACAUAAAUCUGAAACUGAUACAAGCUUAAUUAGAGGGCUUGUUUUGGAUCACGGAGUAUAGCAUCCUGAUAGAAAAAAAGGGUGGAGGAUGCAUACAUCCUCACUUGUAACAUGUCAUUAGAAUAUGAAAAAACUUAAGUUUAUAGCCCUUUUUUUUACAAGAGUGCAGAAGAGAGAGAAAAACUCAUAAAAGCUGAAAGAAAAUUCAUUGAAGAUAGAGUUAAAUAAUAGAACUGAAAAGGAAAGUCUGUGGUGAUUCAGAUAAAGGAUUUGUUAUUAAUCAAAAGGGAAUUGACCCCUUUUCCUCAGAUGCUCUUUCAAGAGAAGGCGUAGUCGCUCUGCGCAGAGCUAAAAGGAGAAAUAUGGAGAGGCUGACUCUUGCUUGGGGUGGGGUGGCCCUGAAUUCUUUUGACGACCUCAGUCCUGACUGCUUGGGACAUGCAGGACUUUUAUGUGAGUAUACAUUGGUUCUUGCUCAGAAUUCUGGUUCUGACCUUCAGGAAACAUUAGUUAAAAUUUAAGCAGAACAUUCAGAAUCAGUUCAGCUCGUGGGUGUGAACUUGAACACAGGUGAGCCAGUGGUAGCAGCAGAAGUAGGCGUUACAGGAUAACGAUUGUGUAAAGAAACAGCUUCAUCACUCUUGCGCUGUGAUUGCCACCAACAUUCUCUUGGUUGAUGAGAUCAUGUGAGCCUGGAAUGCCUUCUCUGAAAGGUUGAAUUGAAGCUUCCUCUCUGAGUCUUGAAGACUCUGCAAAGUGAUCCUGAGGAAUACAGCUGUGGAGUUUUUGUCCAAGCUUCAAAUGAGUUUCAAAGGAAUUUUCCCAUAUGAGAAAAGAAGAGAACACUGGCAUCUGUUGAAAUUCGGAAGUUCUGAGAUUAUAAUUACAGUAUUCUUUUAAAAGUUGCACUGAAGUGUACAUACAUAAAGCAGGUCUUUCACCCAGUGAACAGGAUGUUUUGCUUUAGCAGCAGUGACAUAAAAUUCCACGUUAGAUAAGCAUGUAUUACCUACAUUAUUAAAUAUUUCUUGAAAAGCAGAUUUUAAUAGUUUAAUUUUAUGUGGACGUAUGUUAAAUUAUUCAACAGUACCCUAUUGUUAAGCAUUUGGUUUUAAAUUUUUUAUGCUAAUAUAAAGCUUAAGUAAUUUAAAAUUUUGAGAGCAUCCCUGUUAGUGUAAAUUUCUGAGUAAAUUCAUUGGAUCAGUUGGAGUUUUCAUGCUUUUGAAAUAGCCUUGCUAAAAUGCUCCCCCUACAAAGUUAAGUUGUAGGAAAUGGGAAGAGGAGUAAACUAGAGGCAAGGGAGUUGAGAGAGCUGGAAGGUGUGGUGACUAAGGGCUACAGUUAUGGGGUUAAAUUUGAGAUUUGUAGGCUAACUGUAUUUUCAAGUUUCUGAAAGCCUCUAGCAUCAUAUUUUUCUCACCCAAAUAACUACGUUUCCACAAUAUUAUUUAUAUAGUUGUUGAUCUGUCUCUGCAGUCCUUGAAGGUGAUGUUGAUGUUACUAGGCUGUGUGUUUUGGGGGCUCAGCAGUGGCCUGAAGUGAGCAUGCAAUAAAUGUUAAGUUGAAACUUC